Molecule: ribosomal RNA, 255 nt
Filed under: uncultured bacterium
Lineage: Bacteria
Description: partial 16S ribosomal RNA
Rfam family: Bacterial small subunit ribosomal RNA
Source: RNAcentral
ACGGGUGAGUAACGCGUGAGUAACCUGCCUUUCAGAGGGGGAUAACGUUCUGAAAAGAACGCUAAUACCGCAUAACAUCAAUUUAUCGCAUGAUAGGUUGAUCAAAGGAGCAAUCCGCUGGAAGAUGGACUCGCGUCCGAUUAGCCAGUUGGCGGGGUAACGGCCCACCAAAGCGACGAUCGGUAGCCGGACUGAGAGGUUGAACGGCCACAUUGGGACUGAGACACGGCCCAAACUCCUACGGGAGGCAGCAUG